AUUGAACGCUGGCGGCAUGAUUUGCACAUGCAAGUCGAACGGUAACAGGCCGCAAGGUGCUGACGAGUGGCGAACGGGUGCGUAAUGCAUCGGAACGUGCCCAGUCGUGGGGGAUAACUACUCGAAAGAGUAGCUAAUACCGCAUACGAUCUAUGGAUGAAAGCGGGGGACCGUAAGGCCUCGCGCGAUUGGAGCGGCCGAUGUCAGAUUAGGUAGUUGGUGGGGUAAAGGCUCACCAAGCCAACGAUCUGUAGCUGGUCUGAGAGGACGACCAGCCACACUGGGACUGAGACACGGCCCAGACUCCUACGGGAGGCAGCAGUGGGGAAUUUUGGACAAUGGGCGCAAGCCUGAUCCAGCAAUGCCGCGUGCAGGAAGAAGGCCUUCGGGUUGUAAACUGCUUUUGUACGGAACGAAACGGCUCUGGUUAAUACCCGGGGCUAAUGACGGUACCGUAAGAAUAAGCACCGGCUAACUACGUG
RNAcentral lists this ribosomal RNA (482 nucleotides) under uncultured bacterium. Its description in RNAcentral is "partial 16S ribosomal RNA". It matches the Rfam family "Bacterial small subunit ribosomal RNA", at positions 30 to 507 of the family's 1533-position model. The record is from RNAcentral.